ACCACCCCUCCCUGUUAACGCACCUCUUCCCAUCAAACUCUUGCAGAAACUCCGUCCACAGGAUAAGGCCCAUCCAUCCACACCUGUAGAAUAGAUUACUCUGUUUCGUCCAGUUCGCAAUGGAAGAAACAAUAAGACACUUAACUUUCUCACUUAAUAACAAACAGACCAAGCUCACAGCCAAACUGAUACAGUUGUAGGAUUAACUUGAAAGCUGUUUGAAUGACUCCAUGUAAAUUAAUUUUUUUAUGUUAGUGCGAGCAUUUUAGGGAAAAGAAAUGAGAAAGAGAAGACUGUUAAAUGUUAAUCGUCAGCGUGUAACCUGCAUUUGCCUGCCUUUGCAAAAGCAUGUGUGGUGAGGAUGAGUAUAAUGAAACUGACAGAUGCAAGUCUGCUGGGUGCUUUACAGUGCUCUCGUUUGCAGAGCUUUGGUGGUUGGAUGACAUAAUCGCCCUUUCUAUCCUGAUGCUCAUUUGGUCUCUGCUCUAUGCUCAUCAUGCUAGAAGCUAGGAACGACUGAGAAUAGCUUGGACAGGGAUGUUUGGCUUUCGUCCAUUUAAAAAUAAAAAUGGCUGCCUCUGACGUCACAUGAGGAAGGCCCAUAGACUGUAAACUAUUUUUUGAAUAUAUAUAAGCGUUUAUUAGCAUUUCCUUCACAGCCUGACAUUUUGUGGAUGCCUGUUCUUUUGUGAAACUCAGCUUUGUGCUUUGCUCUAGAACAGAAGGUAGAGGAUGCCCUUGAAUGAUCAUGCCGGAUCAUGACGCACACGUCUUCUCCACUGCUGAUAGGCCAGUCACAGAUCUGUGGGUCUGUGAAAGAAGCUCUAGGAUAUAAUAAGACACUAAAAUGACUGACAUAUCUGAUGUGUUUUUACUUUUAAAAGGCAGGUUUUAUAGGUUAUUUUUUUUCAGAGGGAACAUCUGAAAUUUGUUUAAUAUAUUUUGUACAUUUCUGAACGGACCAUCUGAUAACAUCUGAAACAAUUAUUCCAAAAAAUCUUUACAAAUGCAUUUAAGUGGAGAAACAUUGCCAUCCCCUUAAACCAGAGUUCAGUUUGAAUGGAGGAGUUCAGUUUUAAUUUCUUUUUAGUCUGCUCAAAUCUAAUCAUCAUUUUAAUCUUAAUCUUCCAUAUUGGCAUGUAAUAACUUCAAUACAUUUUGUCAGUGGUCAGUUAGACCUAUGCACUUUUAUGUUCUCUUUCUCUGCUGGAAAAAAAAGGCAAAAUGUAAAAAUGUCCACAGGGUCAUCUCGGUGGAUCUGUCCAUAUGCUUUGCAUUCUGUUUUCUGUCUCCUUGUCAUAAAUCACUCAGAAGAUUUUCACAUCCAAUGUUGCCAAUGCAAACAGAACUUGGGCCUGUUGAAUUUUGUACAUCACUGUCAAUUCCAAGUACAAACUAUUUCUGCAAGUAGGUCCAUGAUUCUCAACUUUUUGUUUUGCUCUUAAAUGUGUGCAACUAGUUUCUAUCAAUUGGCCAGUGGAUUGACUGUAGCAGAGGUUUGGAUGUCGGACCAUCUGUGUUAGAGCAAUUUAAUAAGAACAAUAUCAGGCUUACAUGCCGGUAAAGAUGUCUUGUUAAUAGCUGAUUAUAUGACGCCUGUAAUAAAAGUGUAAUUAUUACUAAAAUAUUAUAAAUAAAUAUAUAAUGUACAGUACAUAGUUAUAUGGUUUAAAAUGUUUCUCUUCAUUAAGAAUAAAUUUAACUGUGAAA
Clupea harengus (Atlantic herring) is the source of this 1710-nucleotide long non-coding RNA. Lineage: Eukaryota; Metazoa; Chordata; Actinopteri; Clupeiformes; Clupeidae. The record is from Ensembl.